RNAcentral lists this ribosomal RNA (253 nucleotides) under uncultured bacterium. Its description in RNAcentral is "partial 16S ribosomal RNA". It matches the Rfam family "Bacterial small subunit ribosomal RNA", at positions 524 to 776 of the family's 1533-position model. The record is from RNAcentral.
UACAGAGGGUGCAAGCGUUGUUCGGAAUUAUUGGGCGUAAAGCGCGUGUAGGCGGCUUGGCAAGUCGGGUGUGAAAUCCCUCAGCUCAACUGAGGAAGUGCGCCCGAAACUGCUGAGCUUGAGUGCCGGAGAGGGUAGCGGAAUUCCCCAAGUAGAGGUGAAAUUCGUAGAUAUGGGGAGGAACACCGGUGGCGAAGGCGGCUACCUGGACGGUAACUGACGCUGAGACGCGAAAGCGUGGGUAGCAAACAGG